GGGGAUGGAGCUCAGUGGUAGAACACUUGCCUGGCAGAAGGUCCUGGGUUAGAUUCCCAGCACCACUA
This 68-nucleotide transfer RNA is filed under the name Fukomys damarensis (Damara mole-rat). It matches the Rfam family "tRNA". From Rfam's summary of the family: Transfer RNA (tRNA) molecules are approximately 80 nucleotides in length. Their secondary structure includes four short double-helical elements and three loops (D, anti-codon, and T loops). Lineage: Eukaryota; Metazoa; Chordata; Mammalia; Rodentia; Bathyergidae. The record is from Rfam by way of RNAcentral.